GACGAGCGCUGGCGGCGUGCUUAACACAUGCAAGUCGAACGGAAAGGCCCUGCUUUUGUGGGGUGCUCGAGUGGCGAACGGGUGAGUAACACGUGAGUAACCUGCCCUUGACUUUGGGAUAACUUCAGGAAACUGGGGCUAAUACCGGAUAGGAGCUCCUGCUGCAUGGUGGGGGUUGGAAAGUUUCGGCGGUUGGGGAUGGACUCGCGGCUUAUCAGCUUGUUGGUGGGGUAGUGGCUUACCAAGGCUUUGACGGGUAGCCGGCCUGAGAGGGUGACCGGCCACAUUGGGACUGAGAUACGGCCCAGACUCCUACGGGAGGCAGCAGUGGGGAAUAUUGCACAAUGGGCGGAAGCCUGAUGCAGCAACGCCGCGUGCGGGAUGACGGCCUUCGGGUUGUAAACCGCUUUCGCCUGUGACGAAGCGUGAGUGUCGGUAAUGGGUAAAGAAGCACCGGCUAACUACGUG
This 468-nucleotide ribosomal RNA is filed under the name uncultured bacterium. Its description in RNAcentral is "partial 16S ribosomal RNA". It matches the Rfam family "Bacterial small subunit ribosomal RNA", at positions 28 to 507 of the family's 1533-position model. The record is from RNAcentral.